This 253-nucleotide ribosomal RNA is filed under the name uncultured bacterium. RNAcentral's name for it is "partial 16S ribosomal RNA". It matches the Rfam family "Bacterial small subunit ribosomal RNA", at positions 524 to 776 of the family's 1533-position model. The record is from RNAcentral.
UACGAAGGGGGCUAGCGUUGCUCGGAAUCACUGGGCGUAAAGGGUGCGUAGGUGGGAAUGUAAGUCAGUGGUGAAAUCUCCGUGCUUAACACGGAAACUGCCAUUGAUACUAUGUUUCUUGAAUUAUCUGGAGGUCAGCGGAAUAUGUCAUGUAGCGGUGAAAUGCUUAGAUAUGACAUAGAACACCAAUUGCGAAGGCAGCUGGCUACAGGUGGAUUGACACUGAGGCACGAAAGCGUGGGGAUCAAUCAGG